This 493-nucleotide ribosomal RNA is filed under the name uncultured bacterium. RNAcentral describes it as "partial 16S ribosomal RNA". It matches the Rfam family "Bacterial small subunit ribosomal RNA", at positions 30 to 507 of the family's 1533-position model. The record is from RNAcentral.
AUUGAACGCUGGCGGCAUGCUUUACACAUGCGAGUCGAACGGCAGCGAGGAGAAGCUUGCUUCUCUGUCGGCGAGUGGCGAACGGGUGAGUAUAGCAUCGGAACGUGCCAAGUAGUGGGGGAUAACCAAACGAAAGUUUGGCUAAUACCGCGUAAGCUCUAAGGAGGAAAGUAGGGGACCUAAAUAAGGCCUUACGCUAUUUGAUCGGCCGAUGUCGGAUUAGCUAGUUGGUGGGGUAAUGGCUCACCAAGGCAAUGAUCCGUAGCGGGUCUGAGAGGACGAUCCGCCACACUGGGACUGAGACACGGCCCAGACUCCUACGGGAGGCAGCAGUGGGGAAUUUUGGACAAUGGGGGAAACCCUGAUCCAGCCAUGCCGCGUGUAUGAAGAAGGCCUUAGGGUUGUAAAGUACUUUUGUUAGGGAAGAAAAGCUAGUUUUUAAUAAAAAUUAGUGAUGACGGUACCUAAAGAAUAAGCACCGGCUAACUACGUG